RNAcentral lists this long non-coding RNA (734 nucleotides) under Lathyrus oleraceus (garden pea). RNAcentral describes it as "Pisum sativum (pea) long non-coding RNA (PSAT_LNC003575)". The record is from RNAcentral. Lineage: Eukaryota; Viridiplantae; Streptophyta; Magnoliopsida; Fabales; Fabaceae.
UCCAUGUCACCAACACCUUCCAUUCUAUAAGAAGCUGAUUUUGAUGCAAGUUCCCUCAGAUUUGAUAUACUUCUUCCCAACUGCAAAGCCAUCUUCAUUUCAAACAACUCUCCAUUUUCUCUUUUCUGUAAAUCUUUCUCUCCCAAAGUUGAUUCAAUUGAGGUUUCUAACAACUUGAAGAAGCCACCAGAAGCUCUGUACAUUUCAAAAACCAUGCCAACUUGUCCACCAUGCUCAAAGGUAUUAACUGCAGAAGCCAACGAACCAGCCAAGAGUGGAACAAAAGCAGCCACAAAACUACCAUUACCUAUAAAAGUUGAUCCAAUGGCUGCAAUUCCUGUGAGUAAUGGCCCUGCAACUGCCAAACUCUUGUUUAUCUUCAAUGCUAUGUUUCCAAGUCUGUUAUAAUCUUCAGUGUCUUUUCUCUUUAUCACUUCAACAACUUCCCUCAUUUCCGUUUCUAAUUCUUCACUCCAUCCAUUAUUCAUUUUACCCAUUUUCUUGCUUUGUGUUUUUCCAUUUUUGGAAGGCCACCAAACAGCAGGCUCAAAUUUUGCAGGGAAUUUUUCAAGCAUUGCGCCUAAUAAGGGAAGUGGGUAAGCUUUGUCAAGUGCCAAAACUUUAUCCAUAGCACCCUUCACAUCUUCUUCACUAGGGUUUCCUAUUUUAAUUGUUGUUUGAAUUUGUGUCUGAAGUUGUUUGAACAGUCUUGUUGCAUUCCUUUGCUCUUCUGU